Molecule: ribosomal RNA, 119 nt
Filed under: Nelumbo nucifera (sacred lotus)
Lineage: Eukaryota; Viridiplantae; Streptophyta; Magnoliopsida; Proteales; Nelumbonaceae
Source: RNAcentral
GGGUGCGAUCAUACCAGCACUAACGCAUCGGAUCCCAACAGAGCUCCGAAGUUAAGCGUGCUUGGGCGAGACUAGUACUAGGAUAGGUGACCUCCUGGGAAGUCCUCGUGUUGCACUAC